Molecule: ribosomal RNA, 497 nt
Filed under: uncultured bacterium
Lineage: Bacteria
Description: partial 16S ribosomal RNA
Rfam family: Bacterial small subunit ribosomal RNA
Source: RNAcentral
GAUGAACGCUGGCGGCGUGCCUAAUACAUGCAAGUCGAGCGAACGGACGAGAAGCUUGCUUCUCUGAUGUUAGCGGCGGACGGGUGAGUAACACGUGGAUAAUCUACCUAUAAGACUGGGAUAACUUCGGGAAACCGGAGCUAAUACCGGAUAAUAUUUUGAACCGCAUGGGUCAAAAGUAAAAGACGGUCUUGCUGGCACUUAUAGAUGGAUCCGCGCUGCAUUAGCUAGUUGGUAAGGUAACGGCUUACCAAGGCAACGAUGCAUAGCCGACCUGAGAGGGUGAUCGGCCACACUGGAACUGAGACGCGGUCCAGACUCCUACGGGAGGCAGCAGUAGGGAAUCUUCCGCAAUGGGCGAAAGCCUGACGGAGCAACGCCGCGUGAGUGAUGAAGGUCUUCGGAUCGUAAAACUCUGUUAUUAGGGAAGAACAUAUGUGUAAGUAACUGUGCACAUCUUGACGGUACCUAAUCAGAAAGCCACGGCUAACUACGUG